Molecule: ribosomal RNA, 476 nt
Filed under: uncultured organism
Description: partial 16S ribosomal RNA
Rfam family: Bacterial small subunit ribosomal RNA
Source: RNAcentral
GUACACUCCUACGGGAGGCAGCAGUGGGGAAUUUUGGACAAUGGGCGAAAGCCUGAUCCAGCAAUGCCGCGUGUGUGAAUAAGGCCUUCGGGUUGUAAAGCACUUUUGUCCGGAAAGAAAUCCUUGGCUCUAAUACAGUCGGGGGAUGACGGUACCGGAAGAAUAAGCACCGGCUAACUACGUGCCAGCAGCCGCGGUAAUACGUAGGGUGCGAGCGUUAAUCGGAAUUACUGGGCGUAAAGCGUGCGCAGGCGGUUUGCUAAGACCGAUGUGAAAUCCCCGGGCUCAACCUGGGAACUGCAUUGGUGACUGGCAGGCUAGAGUAUGGCAGAGGGGGGUAGAAUUCCACGUGUAGCAGUGAAAUGCGUAGAGAUGUGGAGGAAUACCGAUGGCGAAGGCAGCCCCCUGGGCCAAUACUGACGCUCAUGCACGAAAGCGUGGGGAGCAAACAGGAUUAGAAACCCGAGUAGUCCCAU